GAUGAAGAACGUAGCGAAAUGCGAUACUUGGUGUGAAUUGCAGAAUCCCGUGAACCAUCGAGUCUUUGAACGCAAGUUGCGCCCGAAGCCAUCAGGUUGAGGGCACGUCUGCCUGGGCGUCACAUAUCGUUGCCCAAUGCCUAUUGCAGUGCAAUAGGAAUUUCUAGGGCGAAUGAUGGCUUCCCGUGAGCGUUGUUGCCUCGCGGUUGGUUGAAAAUCGAGUCCUCGGUAGGGUGUGCCAUGGUAGAUGGUGGUCGAGUUAGAACGAUACCGAUCAUGUGCAUGCUCCCCAAAAUAUGGCCUCUAUGACCCACACGCGUCUUUUGACGCUCAUGACGAGACCUCAGGUCAGGCGGGGCUACCCGCUGAAUUUAAGCAUAUCAAUAAGCGGAGGA
RNAcentral lists this unclassified non-coding RNA (395 nucleotides) under soil metagenome. RNAcentral describes it as "partial contains 5.8S ribosomal RNA, internal transcribed spacer 2, and large subunit ribosomal RNA". The stretch from base 1 to 122 matches the Rfam family "5.8S ribosomal RNA", at positions 35 to 154 of the family's 154-position model. The record is from RNAcentral.